AUUGAACGCUGGCGGCAGGCUUAACACAUGCAAGUCGAGCGGAGAUGAGGUGCUUGCACCGUAUCUUAGCGGCGGAAGGGUGAGUAAUGUUUAGGAAUCUGCCUAUUAGUGGGGGACAACAUUCAGAAAGGAAUGCUAAUACCGCAUAACUCCUACGGGAGAAAGCAGGGGAUCUUCGGACCUUGCGCUAAGAGAUGAGCCUAAGUCGGAUUAGCUAGUUGGUGGGGGAAAGGCCUACCAAGGCGACGAUCUGUAGCGGGUCUGAGAGGAUGAUCCGCCACACUGGGACUGAGACACGGCCCAGACUACUACGGGAGGCAGCAGUGGGGAAUAUUGGACAAUGGGGGAAACCCUGAUCCAGCCAUGCCGCGUGUGUGAAGAAGGCCUUAUGGUUGUAAAGCACUUUAAGCGAGGAGGAGGCUACUGAGACUAAUACUCUUGGAUAGUGGACGUUACUCGCAGAAUAAGCACCGGCUAACUCUGUGCCAGCCGCCGCAGUGA
RNAcentral lists this ribosomal RNA (501 nucleotides) under uncultured bacterium. Its description in RNAcentral is "partial 16S ribosomal RNA". It matches the Rfam family "Bacterial small subunit ribosomal RNA", at positions 30 to 523 of the family's 1533-position model. The record is from RNAcentral.